RNAcentral lists this ribosomal RNA (444 nucleotides) under uncultured bacterium. RNAcentral describes it as "bacterial SSU rRNA". It matches the Rfam family "Bacterial small subunit ribosomal RNA", at positions 958 to 1400 of the family's 1533-position model. The record is from RNAcentral.
AACGCGAAGAACCUUACCAGCUCUUGACAUGGGGAUUAUGGGGAUCAGAGAUGAUUCCCUUCGGUUCGGCCGGGUCCCACACAGGUGCUGCAUGGCUGUCGUCAGCUCGUGUCGUGAGAUGUUGGGUUAAGUCCCGCAACGAGCGCAACCCUCAUCAUUAGUUGCCAUCAUUCAGUUGGGCCCUCUAGGGGGACUGCCGGUGAUAAGCCGAGAGGAAGGUGGGGAUGACGUCAAGUCCUCAUGGCCCUUACGGGCUGGGCUACACACGUGCUACAAUGGCGGUGACAAUGGGAUGCUGAGGGGCGACCCCGAGCAAAUCUCAAAAAGCCGUCUCAGUUCGGAUUGCACUCUGCAACUCGAGUGCAUGAAGGUGGAAUCGCUAGUAAUCGUAGAUCAGAACGCUACGGUGAAUACGUUCCCGGGCCUUGUACACACCGGUAUCUC